This 426-nucleotide ribosomal RNA is filed under the name uncultured prokaryote. Its description in RNAcentral is "bacterial SSU rRNA". It matches the Rfam family "Bacterial small subunit ribosomal RNA", at positions 355 to 796 of the family's 1533-position model. The record is from RNAcentral.
UGGGGAAUUUUCCGCAAUGGGCGAAAGCCUGACGGAGCAAUACCGCGUGAGGGAGGAAGGCUUUUGGGUUGUAAACCUCUUUUCUUAGGGAAGAAGUUCUGACGGUACCUAAGGAAUCAGCAUCGGCUAACUCCGUGCCAGCAGCCGCGGUAAUACGGAGGAUGCAAGCGUUAAUCGGAAUUACUGGGCGUAAAGCGAGUGUAGGCGGCGACGUAAGUCGGAUGUGAAAGCCCCGGGCUCAACCUGGGAAUUGCAUUCGAUACUGCGUGGCUCGAGUCUGACAGAGGGAUGUGGAAUUCCGGGUGUAGCGGUGAAAUGCGUAGAUAUCCGGAGGAACACCAGUGGCGAAGGCGGCAUCCUGGGUCAAGACUGACGCUGAGGCUCGAAAGCGUGGGGAGCAAACAGGAUUAGAUACCCCGGUAGUCC